Molecule: long non-coding RNA, 806 nt
Organism: Oryza sativa Japonica Group (Japanese rice)
Lineage: Eukaryota; Viridiplantae; Streptophyta; Magnoliopsida; Poales; Poaceae
Source: RefSeq, a predicted model, not a curated record
AGCCCCUAUAAGUACGUAGCUUAUCACAUCACAUUUCCUGAAGCAAAAGAAGAUUCACUAAAAGUCACUCACCUCAUCAGAUCUGCACAGAAUUCAGUUACCAUGAAGCUGGGUGCCUUCCUUUUCGUCCUGCUGGUUUUCAUCAACCUCUGCACCGGCAUGCCGAGAAACAUGGCGAAGGAUGGAUAUCACAAAACGGAUUUGGGACUGAAGGUGAUGCGUAAUUUGAUGUCUGGAACAGAUGGAAGAACUGGACCUCCUAGCAAUGAUCACCAGUGCCCACUUGGAACCUACCCUAACUGCCAAGGAGUUUCUCAGAGCAAUCAACGAACAGAGCAAGAUGUUGGAGGAAAUUGAUCAAAUUUACUACACAGGUGAUGCAUGAACAUAUGUAUGAGAGGACUAUUAUUUGUAUUUUCUUGCAAUGUAGACGAGACUUGGAUCGAGCACGUAUGUAUAGUACGUGUAACAGUAAUAUAAAAUUAGUAUGUCAAAGCUCCAAAUGUUAUAAUUAUGUCGUUGCUUCCUUCUACAGUAGAAAUCAAUAAGAUGUACUGCAGUUCAUCAACACGAGUAAAUCUCUACUGUGUGGCUUGCCACCUUGUAAAAUAUCGUCCAUGUUCAUGUAUAUGUUAUGAAACUAUUAUCUCCUACCAGAGAUAAAUAUGAGCUCAUACCAAAUAUAUGGAAACGUAUCCUAAUAGGACUCUUCCUAUUAUGGGUAUAUAUACUGAGAUAGAGGGUUUGAGAGGUUGGUUGAUGUAUCCACAUAUGAGAAAGCAAUAAAGCUGUGAUGCCUCUCUCUA